AAAACAUGUCUUUUUGAUAAUAAUUUAAAGUCUAAUCUGCCCACUGAUUUAUUAAAGGGCUGCAGUAUAUUAACUGUACAAAGGUAGCAUAAUCAUUAGUUUUUUAAUUGAAAACUUGUAUGAAAGAUUUGAUGAAAUAUUAACUGUCUCUUAAUUAUUAAUAAAACUUUAUUUUUUAGUUAAAAAGCUAAAAUAAAUUUAAAAGACGAGAAGACCCUAUAGAGUUUUAUAUUUGAAUUUUAUUUUAAAUAUAUAUAUAAAUUAAUAUUAAUAAAAUUAAAUAUUAUAUUGGGGUGAUAGAAAAAUUUAAUUAACUUUUUUUAAAUAAUAAACAUAAAUAAGUGAAUAAAUGAUCCAUUUAUAAUGAUUACAAGAAAAAAUUACCUUAGGGAUAACAGCGUAAUAUUUUUUUUUAGUACAUAUAAAAAAAAAAGAUUGCGACCUCGAUGUUGGAUUAAGAUAAAAUUUAAAUGCAAAAGUUUAAAAUUUUGAUCUGUUCGAUCAUUAAAAUCUUACAUGAUC
This 522-nucleotide ribosomal RNA is filed under the name Mycalesis mineus (dark-brand bushbrown). RNAcentral's name for it is "partial 16S ribosomal RNA". The stretch from base 391 to 522 matches the Rfam family "Archaeal large subunit ribosomal RNA", at positions 2542 to 2674 of the family's 2987-position model. The record is from RNAcentral. Lineage: Eukaryota; Metazoa; Arthropoda; Insecta; Lepidoptera; Nymphalidae.